RNAcentral lists this ribosomal RNA (219 nucleotides) under uncultured bacterium. RNAcentral's name for it is "partial 16S ribosomal RNA". It matches the Rfam family "Bacterial small subunit ribosomal RNA", at positions 15 to 225 of the family's 1533-position model. The record is from RNAcentral.
GAUCAUGGCUCAGGAUGAGCGCUAGCUACAGGCUUAACACAUGCAAGUCGAGGGGCAGCAUGGUCUUAGCUUGCUAAGACUGAUGGCGACCGGCGCACGGGUGAGUAACACGUAUCCAACCUGCCGUCUACUCUUGGACAGCCUUCUGAAAGGAAGAUUAAUACAAGAUGGCAUCACGAGUCCGCAUGUUCACAUGAUUAAAGGUAUUCCGGUAGACGA